This 145-nucleotide small nucleolar RNA is filed under the name Medicago truncatula (barrel medic). RNAcentral describes it as "small nucleolar RNA snoR135". It matches the Rfam family "small nucleolar RNA snoR135". Lineage: Eukaryota; Viridiplantae; Streptophyta; Magnoliopsida; Fabales; Fabaceae. The record is from Rfam by way of RNAcentral.
AGAGCAGGGAUAGUGUGUAUCGGUGUUGUGCUAUGAUCAAUGCAUUCUUCCGAAAGUGUUCCCUAGCAAUAUCAAUUUGAGAGAAUGGGCAGUUGUGUUUCAUCUUUUAUGGUUGAAAAUCACAACAAUCAUUUUCACUACAUCU